This 119-nucleotide ribosomal RNA is filed under the name Pteropus alecto (black flying fox). The record is from RNAcentral. Lineage: Eukaryota; Metazoa; Chordata; Mammalia; Chiroptera; Pteropodidae.
GUCUGUGGCCAUGCCACCCUGAACAAGCCCGAUCCCUUCUGAUCUCGGAAGCCAAGCAGGGUCGGGCCUGGUUAGUACUUGGAUGGGAGACCACCUGGGAAGAGCAGGUGCUGUAGGAG